GCCCCGAGAUGAGUUCUCCCUGACCCUUUAAGGGUCCUGAAGGAACGUUGAAGACGACGACGUUGAUAGGCCGGGUGUGUAAGCGCAGCGAUGCGUUGAGCUAACCGGUACUAAUGAACCGUGAGGCUUAACCUUACAACGCCGAAGGUGUUU
This 153-nucleotide ribosomal RNA is filed under the name Escherichia coli. Its description in RNAcentral is "partial 23S ribosomal RNA". The stretch from base 1 to 135 matches the Rfam family "Bacterial large subunit ribosomal RNA", at positions 2796 to 2925 of the family's 2925-position model. The record is from RNAcentral. Lineage: Bacteria; Pseudomonadati; Pseudomonadota; Gammaproteobacteria; Enterobacterales; Enterobacteriaceae.